AGCAGCCGCGGUAAUUCCAGCUCCAAUAGCGUAUAUUAAAGUUGUUGCAGUUAAAAAGCUCGUAGUUGAAUUUCGGGGUUAGUAGGUUGGUCAUGCCUCUGGUAUGUAUUGGUCUCACUGAUUCCUCCUUCCUGAUGAGCCGUAAUGCCAUUAAUUUGGUGUUGCGGGGAAUUUGGACUGUUACUUUGAAAAAUUGAGUGUUCAAAGCAAGCUAACGCUUGAAUACAUUAGCAUGGAAUAAUGAAAUAGGACGUUCGAUCCUAUUUUGUUGGUUUCUAGGAUUGACGUAAUGAUUAAUAGGGAUAGUUGGGGCAUUAGUAUUCAAUUGUCAGAGGUGAAAUUCUUGGAUUUAUUGAAGACUAACUACUGCGAAAGCAUUUGCCAAGGAUGUUUUCAUUAAUCAAG
Molecule: ribosomal RNA, 405 nt
Filed under: uncultured Glomus
Lineage: Eukaryota; Fungi; Glomeromycota; Glomeromycetes; Glomerales; Glomeraceae
Description: SSU rRNA
Rfam family: Eukaryotic small subunit ribosomal RNA
Source: RNAcentral